Non-coding RNA from Leptonychotes weddellii (Weddell seal), 427 nucleotides. The record is from RefSeq and is a predicted model, not a curated record. NCBI's taxonomy places the organism in Eukaryota, Metazoa, Chordata, Mammalia, Carnivora, Phocidae.
UGCUCUACUGACUGAGCCAGCCAGGUGCCCCUGAACACAUAUUUUGGACACCCUGCCAGGAUGUGGAGAAACAAGGGUGAAAAAAGACAUAGGUGUCCUUUGGAGCUCAUGUCCCAAUGUGGGGCUCCAGAAGUCAUUCCAGAGCUAAUGGAAGUUGUAUGUGGGUCAUUUACAACAUUCUGAUGCCUGGCAGAACAAACAACACUGUGUGUGACCAGCCUGUGUGUGACCAGCUGGGACCAAGGCCUUCAUGAGUUCUGCUUGGUUGAAUGUUAUCUUACUAUCCACUUGGUCCACAUACUUCCUAUUUUACAGAUUACUCCGUGCUUUUGGUUUAAUAGCUGACAGCAUCCAGUUUUCUGGAUCCUGCUGAGAAAAUAACCCCAAACCCAACAUACUCCCUAAAAAAUGGAUGGACUCAAAUGCA